This is a long non-coding RNA of Cyprinus carpio carpio, 858 nucleotides long. NCBI's taxonomy places the organism in Eukaryota, Metazoa, Chordata, Actinopteri, Cypriniformes, Cyprinidae. The record is from Ensembl.
AUUUCUUGACAGGUCUCAGCACAUAGUCUAUACGUGACUGACGACGCAAAUGUGGCCAUUUUUCCUGGAGCUUCUGGUUUUUUUAGCACAUUGGACCUUACACCAAGAGCUCACUAUGAGGUUCACGGUGAGGAGGAGGACGCCUCAUCAGCUUCAAAUGCCACAGCUCGUUUUACGUUCAUGCGAUCACCUGCGACUGCUACUAACGUUACUCCUAGUCCAUCAUCAUCUGCUCAGCGGGCUGCCUCAGCCCCCCUCAGAGCCACUGCCUCUAAAACAUUUCAAAGAUCGGUUUUUCUUGCUGAGGUGGUUGGUGGGAGGCUGAGUCCCAGCAGAAUGGUGGUGGUCCGGUUUUUGGAAUCUGAGGCUACCCUUCAGGGGAUAAUCGGUAAAGUUCAAGAUGCCAUUGGAUGUCAUGACCCAAUGGUAUUGACUGAUGUGCAGGGGAAUGCAAUUUUGGAGUCUGAAGGCACAACUGGGUCCCAGUACUGGAAACAAAAUGCUAGAAAGAUUCUUGCUAUACAAGAACAGGCCUUCCAGGAGGUACAGGGCUCUAAAAGGAGGAGAAUGAGCCGAAAAGAUGAAGAUGCUGCUGGAAUUGGAGAGGUCACUGAGAAGAUAGAAGAGCUUGUACUGGCAUCACAGACCUUACCAGAUAUCACUGCAGCAAUCAGAGAGCUCACCAAUCUAGCUGCCACUCAAAGAGUGAUCCUGACUCCUUCCCAGCUACAGACCAUCAAGCAAGGAUUCUGCUGUGUUAUUUGUAUGAGAAAAUCCAAUGACCAAAAGAUACACGGACCGACCAGGCAACAUUUUUCCAAUCUUCUUUUGUCCAAUUUUGGUGAGCCUGUAUGAAUU